RNAcentral lists this ribosomal RNA (477 nucleotides) under Triticum aestivum (bread wheat). RNAcentral's name for it is "partial small subunit ribosomal RNA". The record is from RNAcentral. Lineage: Eukaryota; Viridiplantae; Streptophyta; Magnoliopsida; Poales; Poaceae.
AUGGCGGUGGCGGCGAGGAGCACUGCAGGGGAGAGGAGAGAGGUAAGGGAGAGGCAGGGAUAUGAAGAGGAGGGCGGCGGAGCUGUCCUGAGGCUCGGCAGCGGCGGAGAUGACCGGCUGGGCUGCCACUCGGGUUGGCGUGGCAGCGAGGCAAAGGAGCUCGUGCCCCUUGGCGACGGGAGGCUCGGGCACGGCGUCGCUGCACCGACGGGAUGCAGGCGUGGCUCGCAGAUCGAGGAGGGCCAAGGGGAGCUCCUCGCUCGGGCGUCGGGUGAGCACGGGGAUGGAGGUGAGGGGGCCGGCCUGGAGCUUUGCCAGAGACGUCCGGGCACAGCUGCGCUGGAUCUGCUGCUGCUUGCGGCACGGGGACGAGGACGAGGGAGCUCGUGCUCCUGCCGGGCUCCGGCGAGGCUGGCUUGUGGUCGCUGCGGGACAGCUGGAUCCAGGGCCUCGGUGGGAUUGCUUGGCUGGAAAUGA